GCCCCUGUUGUCUAAUGGCUAUGACGUCAGACUUCUAGCUUACUUGAGCUAUCUGGAGGUUGCGGGUUCGAGUCCCGCCAGGGGUU
Non-coding RNA from Mycena sp. CBHHK59/15, 86 nucleotides. Lineage: Eukaryota; Fungi; Basidiomycota; Agaricomycetes; Agaricales; Mycenaceae. The record is from the annotation of a GenBank genome assembly.